This 1341-nucleotide ribosomal RNA is filed under the name Pedobacter sp. 4236. Its description in RNAcentral is "bacterial SSU rRNA". It matches the Rfam family "Bacterial small subunit ribosomal RNA", at positions 98 to 1445 of the family's 1533-position model. The record is from RNAcentral. Lineage: Bacteria; Pseudomonadati; Bacteroidota; Sphingobacteriia; Sphingobacteriales; Sphingobacteriaceae.
GCGCACGGGUGCGUAACGCGUAUGCAACCUACCUUAAUCAGGGGGAUAGCCCGAAGAAAUUCGGAUUAACACCGCAUAAAAUCACAGUAUAGCAUUGUACAAUGAUCAAAUAUUUAUAGGAUUAAGAUGGGCAUGCGUGACAUUAGUUAGUUGGCGGGGUAACGGCCCACCAAGACCACGAUGUCUAGGGGAUCUGAGAGGAUGACCCCCCACACUGGUACUGAGACACGGACCAGACUCCUACGGGAGGCAGCAGUAAGGAAUAUUGGUCAAUGGAGGCAACUCUGAACCAGCCAUGCCGCGUGCAGGAAGACAGCCUCUGGGUCGUAAACUGCUUUUAUUCGGGAAUAAACCACAUUACGUGUAGUGUGCUGAAUGUACCGAAGGAAUAAGGAUCGGCUAACUCCGUGCCAGCAGCCGCGGUAAUACGGAGGAUCCAAGCGUUAUCCGGAUUUAUUGGGUUUAAAGGGUGCGUAGGCGGCUUUUUAAGUCAGGGGUGAAAGACGGUGGCUCAACCAUCGCAGUGCCCUUGAUACUGAAGAGCUUGAAUGAACUAGAGGUAGGCGGAAUGUGACAAGUAGCGGUGAAAUGCAUAGAUAUGUCACAGAACACCGAUUGCGAAGGCAGCUUACUAUGGUUAAAUUGACGCUGAGGCACGAAAGCGUGGGGAUCAAACAGGAUUAGAUACCCUGGUAGUCCACGCCCUAAACGAUGAAUACUCGCUGUUAGCGAUACACAGUUAGCGGCUAAGCGAAAGCGUUAAGUAUUCCACCUGGGGAGUACGGUCGCAAGAUUGAAACUCAAAGGAAUUGACGGGGGCCCGCACAAGCGGAGGAGCAUGUGGUUUAAUUCGAUGAUACGCGAGGAACCUUACCCGGGCUUGAAAGUUAGUGAAUCAUUUAGAGAUAGAUGAGUCCGCAAGACGAAACUAGGUGCUGCAUGGCUGUCGUCAGCUCGUGCCGUGAGUGGUUGGGUUAAGUCCCGCAACGAGCGCAACCCCUAUGUUUAGUUGCCAGCACGUCAUGGUGGGGACUCUAAACAGACUGCCUGUGCAAACAGAGAGGAAGGAGGGGACAACGUCAAGUCAUCAUGGCCCUUACGUCCGGGGCUACACACGUGCUACAAUGGAUGGUACAGAGGGCAGCAAGCUGGUAACAGCAAGCAAAUCUCCAAAAGCCAUUCACAGUUCGGAUAGAGGUCUGCAACUCGACCUCUUGAAGUUGGAUUCGCUAGUAAUCGUAUAUCAGCAAUGAUACGGUGAAUACGUUCCCGGGCCUUGUACACACCGCCCGUCAAGCCAUGGAAGUUGGGGGUACUAAAGUAUGUAACCGCAAGAGCGUC